RNAcentral lists this long non-coding RNA (282 nucleotides) under Vigna radiata. RNAcentral's name for it is "long non-coding RNA (VRAD_LNC003545)". Lineage: Eukaryota; Viridiplantae; Streptophyta; Magnoliopsida; Fabales; Fabaceae. The record is from RNAcentral.
CAGAGGUGAAUGAGAAACAGUAUAAAAACCUCUCACCAUGAAGGCCUAACAUGCACCGCACAGAGUAAGCUUUGAAACUCUGAUCGGAGCCCAAAUUCGCUCAACUCUGGAGCCACCGUUUUCCAAAUCAUUCACAAAACACAGAGAGCUUUCUCUACUCAAUUGCCCGCUACGCUUUGUUCGUGUGCCUCCAGGUUGGGCCUUUACCUGAUUCUCCUUGUCCUUUCUGUUUAUCUGAAUCAAUGUAGUUUUGAAUUAUGUUAUUGUGUUUGGGUUUUCCGU